CUGGGUGUGGUUUUGAAACUUCUGUGAAUGAUGUGUAUGCCUUCGACUCAGUCCUUAACUUAAAGAGGGGAGGAGGAGCGUAUUAGUUGGAGCACAGUUUGAGCUUGGGGUUGCAUUGGAGCUAAGGAGCAACUUGUAUGAUCUGCUGUAUUCUCUGUUUAAGCUAUGGCUUUAGGAUCAUCACACUAAGGGCAUAUAAAGACAAUUGGGCUUUAAAUCAAUCCCAAGUGAAAGCUGGCAGUACUUUUGUUAAUGAUCUCAGAGUUUUAGAAGACUUCCAACAUGCACACCAUCCCAAGGACCCACUACAGUUUGCAUAUCGCCCCAAAAGAUCCACGGACGACGCAAUCGCCAUUGCACGGCCCACUGCUCUAUCCCACCUAGACAAGAGAAAUACCUAUGUCCUGGACUUCCUGACGGGCUGACCCUAAGUGGUGAAGGUAGGCAACGACACCUCCGCCACGCUGAUCCUCAACACAGGGGCCCCUGUACUUCCUGUUCACCCAUGACUAUGUGGCCACGCACGACCCCAACUCAAUCAUCUAGUUUGCUGUUGACACAACAGUUGUCACGUCCUGACCAUG
RNAcentral lists this long non-coding RNA (584 nucleotides) under Salmo salar (Atlantic salmon). RNAcentral describes it as "lncRNA (ENSSSAG00000093648.1)". Lineage: Eukaryota; Metazoa; Chordata; Actinopteri; Salmoniformes; Salmonidae. The record is from RNAcentral.